CCAGCAGCUGCGGUAAUUCCAGCUCCAAUAGCGUAUAUUAAAGCUGUUGCGGUUAAAAAGCUCGUAGUUGGAUUUCUGUCAAGGACAACUGGUCCGCCCUCCGGGUGAGCACAUAGUUUGGUCUUGGCAUCUUGCUGGAAACUGUUGCUGCACUUGGCUGUGUGGCGCAGCGUCCAGCACUUUCACUUUGAGGAAAUUGGAGUGUUUCAAGCAGGCACAUGCCUUUGGACACAGUAGCAUGGAAUAAUUAGAUUGGGCUUUUGCUCCAAUUUGUCGGUUUCUGGAGCUGAGGUGAGAAUUAAUGGGGAUUGUUGGGGGCAUCCGAAUUUAGCCGUCAGAGGUGAAAUUCUUGGAUCUGCUAAAGACGGACAACUGCGAAAGCGUUUGCCCAGGAUGUUUUCAUUGAUCAAGAACGAAAGU
This 420-nucleotide ribosomal RNA is filed under the name Amphidinium sp. RNAcentral's name for it is "SSU rRNA". It matches the Rfam family "Eukaryotic small subunit ribosomal RNA", at positions 567 to 990 of the family's 1831-position model. Lineage: Eukaryota; Dinophyceae; Amphidiniales; Amphidiniaceae. The record is from RNAcentral.